Molecule: ribosomal RNA, 541 nt
Filed under: uncultured bacterium
Lineage: Bacteria
Description: bacterial SSU rRNA
Rfam family: Bacterial small subunit ribosomal RNA
Source: RNAcentral
AAUAGAUACCCAGGUAGUCCACGCCCUAAACGAUGCUCACUAGGUGUUGGGGAAGCGAUUCCUUGGUACCGUAGCUAACGCGUGAAGUGAGCCGCCUGGGGAGUACGGCCGCAAGGUUAAAACUCAAAGGAGUUGACGGGGACCCGCACAAGCGGUGGAUGAUGUGGAUUAAUUCGAUGCAACGCGAACAACCUUACCUACCCUUGACAUGUCCGGAAGCCUGCUGAAAGGUGGGUGUGCUCGAAAGAGAACCGGAACACAGGUGCUGCAUGGCUGUCGUCAGCUCGUGUCGUGAGAUGUUGGGUUAAGUCCCGCAACGAGCGCAACCCUUGUCCCUAGUUGCUACGCAAGGGCACUCUAGGGAGACUGCCGGUGACAAACCGGAGGAAGGUGGGGAUGACGUCAAGUCCUCAUGGCCCUUAUGGGUAGGGCUUCACACGUCAUACAAUGGACGGUACAGAGGGUUGCCAACCCGCGAGGGGAGCCAAUCCCAGAAAGCCGUUCGUAGUCCGGAUCGCAGUCUGCAACUCGACUGCGUGAA